UACCUGAGGUACACAGGAGUUGAGGUCUGAGCCACACCUGCAUUGGCCCCCAAGUUCAGUCUGAUGGGUUUGUCUCCAGAAAAGUUGAUGGUGACAAUGUGGAGGCAACCAGUGAUUAGAAAGAUCUCAGGAUAAUAGUGAAACUGACCAUUCAGAACUGACAGACGAAGCUGUAGCUCCUGCAUGGAUCAUUAAAGCCCCCAAGGAGCCACAGACACAGAGGGAAGCAGAAAAACAUUAACCACAGUGGAAGUAUCACUCUUGAUGAGACUGGCAGCACUGUCUGAAACCAGUCUUUAUCUAGAAAACGUUCUGGAACUGUUAAGAUCCUGCGCCCUGCACACACAAUCAGUGAGCUGCCACCUUCAUGACAUCAUAGAUGGAAGCAGCAGUCAUGCAGUGGAAUCCUCACCUAGU
This 417-nucleotide long non-coding RNA is filed under the name Mus musculus (house mouse). RNAcentral's name for it is "long non-coding RNA chr1:60537019-60537436". Lineage: Eukaryota; Metazoa; Chordata; Mammalia; Rodentia; Muridae. The record is from RNAcentral.